This 491-nucleotide ribosomal RNA is filed under the name marine sediment bacterium ISA-1157. RNAcentral describes it as "bacterial SSU rRNA". It matches the Rfam family "Bacterial small subunit ribosomal RNA", at positions 37 to 509 of the family's 1533-position model. The record is from RNAcentral.
UGGCGGCGUGCCUAAUACAUGCAAGUCGAGCGGACAGAUGAGGAGCUUGCUCCUCUGAUGUUAGCGGCGGACGGGUGAGUAACACGUGGGCAACCUACCUGUAAGACGGGGAUAACUCCGGGAAACCGGAGCUAAUACCGGAUAAUAAAGAGAAACGCCUGUUUCUUUUUUGAAAGUCGGUUUCGGCUGACACUUACAGAUGGGCCCGCGGCGCAUUAGCUAGUUGGUGAGGUAACGGCUCACCAAGGCGACGAUGCGUAGCCGACCUGAGAGGGUGAUCGGCCACACUGGGACUGAGACACGGCCCAGACUCCUACGGGAGGCAGCAGUAGGGAAUCUUCGGCAAUGGACGAAAGUCUGACCGAGCAACGCCGCGUGAGCGAUGAAGGCCUUCGGGUCGUAAAGCUCUGUUGUCAGGGAAGAACAAGUACCGGAGUAACUGCCGGUACCUUGACGGUACCUGACCAGAAAGCCACGGCUAACUACGUGCC